RNAcentral lists this ribosomal RNA (311 nucleotides) under uncultured bacterium. Its description in RNAcentral is "bacterial SSU rRNA". It matches the Rfam family "Bacterial small subunit ribosomal RNA", at positions 28 to 334 of the family's 1533-position model. The record is from RNAcentral.
GACGAACGCUGGCGGCGCGCCUAACACAUGCAAGUCGAACGAGCGAGAGAGAGCUUGCUUUCUCGAGCGAGUGGCGAACGGGUGAGUAACGCGUGAGGAACCUGCCUCAAAGAGGGGGACAACAGUUGGAAACGACUGCUAAUACCGCAUAAGCCCACGACCCGGCAUCGGGUUGAGGGAAAAGGAGCAAUCCGCUUUGAGAUGGCCUCGCGUCCGAUUAGCUAGUUGGUGAGGUAACGGCUCACCUAGGCGACGAUCCCUAGCUGGUCUGAGAGGAUGACCAGCCACACUGGAACUGAGACACGGUCCAG